This 1431-nucleotide ribosomal RNA is filed under the name Triticum aestivum (bread wheat). RNAcentral's name for it is "partial small subunit ribosomal RNA". Lineage: Eukaryota; Viridiplantae; Streptophyta; Magnoliopsida; Poales; Poaceae. The record is from RNAcentral.
CACGCUACGAUACCCGGAAACCCUACGCUUGUCGGUUAAAAAGUCGCGCUUACCGGCCGGGUUGGGCGCUUGAAAAGAGGGUUUUAGUUGUCUGUCAGUGUGGCGCGUGUGUAGUCGGUUUAGGGAUCGAAAGGAAGCAUGCGUAAGUAAGGGGUGCGGCCAGUUAGAGGCGCGGCGGCGGAGGUGUGGCCGGCUAGAGGCGCAACGGCGGAGGUGCGGCCAGCUAGAGGUGCGGAGGCGGGGGGUGCGGCCAGCUAGGCGUGCGGAGGGUGGCGGCGGGCUGCGGCUGGCCCCGAAGGAGGUUAGCUAGGGGUGGGGCAGGGUGGCGGCGGGUUGCGGUAGCUAGAACGGGGAGGCCGGCACCACUUCGUGAGGGGCCUCCGCGACGACGAGCACCACAGGUUGGGGCAGCUGCAGGAGUGGAUGGAGCGGAACUUCGAAGGUCCCAACACAAGCUCCACUCGCCGCAGUAGACGAGGCCAUGGUUGGAGCUACAGAGGUCCUAUACCAAGGAGUAGUUGCUCGGGAGGAGGUAAGUUGCGCGUCCUGCACGUCCUAAGGGUCGGGUGGGGUCGUAGGGGAAGUUGGGGCUUGGCCAAAUGACAACGCGGAGACGUUGGAAUGUCCGGCGGCGUCAGCUACGUCGUCGAUCGUCGUCCCGGGUAACAGCAUGAGCGCGUAGGGUCCAAGUAGACGAACGACGACAAAGCCGGUAGUGACCCAGGUAUCAAUGACAUGUGGAAGAUGAGUUAUAAACUGUCUCAUUGUUUUCUACCAACUAUUUAUACAACGAGACUUGGAACCGAAUAAUUAACCGCCUCGAAACUGUCCCGCUUGGACCCGUGGGGUCCAGUAAAUGAAUCUUCUACUCGUGAGGUGGUCCGACAAACAUCAUUUGUUGAAACCGCUACGAGUGCUGUCCGUCACUGCGAUACACUACCACAGCUCGCAACCCAUCCUUUCGUCUUGUAGUAGUUGAGACGGAGUGGAGAAGGUGAUCACAACAGGCUACACAAGUUCGACCUCCUACAAGACGUUACUCUACAUCUUACUUCCGAAACUACAGUUCAUGCUCUUGCUACGUUCCUACAACCACCUUCCGACACUCCUACCCAUACAUCAACGGGUGAUGUUCCUCGGUUCCGUCUACUACACGGAGAAUCUUUUUAAGGUCAUUUGUUGUGAUCCUUAAAAACGAGAGUCUGUUACUUGGUAUUACAGAGGAGAUAAAGUAAUCAAUGUAGUCAAAUAUCCUUUGAACCUACCGGUAACCAAGUAUUGUAUACGUGAUAAAUAUACAUUUUUAAUCACUUACACACAAUAUUAACAAACCAAGACUAUAUAAUAAGAACCAGCUGUACUUACAAUGACAACACUUAAUACAUUGAACUAACUACAAGACUACCAUUUCACUUUACAUCGAUACACUCC